AGGACGAACGCUGGCGGCGUGCUUAACACAUGCAAGUCGUGGGCAUGGGGUAACCCAUGACCGGCGAACGGGUGCGUAACACGUGAGCGACCGUCCCUACGUGAGGGGGAUAGCCGGCCCAACGGCCGGGUAAUACCGCAUACGCUUGACAGGGGGCAUCCCCAGUCAAGGAAACCUCAGGGGCACGAGGACGGGCUCGCGGCCUAUCAGCUAGUUGGCGGGUAACGCCACCAAGGCGACGACGGUAGC
This 249-nucleotide ribosomal RNA is filed under the name uncultured soil bacterium. RNAcentral describes it as "partial 16S ribosomal RNA". It matches the Rfam family "Bacterial small subunit ribosomal RNA", at positions 26 to 287 of the family's 1533-position model. The record is from RNAcentral.